UGACCGGGUGGCCACCUUCCACGGCACAAAGAUGAUAUAGUGGAGGUCGUUGGGAGGUGGCCACCUCCCCGGCUGGAGAAAGAUAUAGGUGACCGUGGGAGAGCACCAUCUCCACGGCACUUGGUGUUCAGAUAUGGCAGAAGUACUUAAAGAACUUAGACUGAUCAGUCGAACUUUAGCUCACAAAGAAUUUAGUUGAGCAGUGACGGUGGAGAAUGCUAAGCAGAGUUAUGAGUUUCCUUUUAUUUUAAGUAGUGCUCUCGGCGGUGCAUGUCUCCAUACAUGUGACCGUGUUCAUUCCGCUGUAUAGCAUCAACUGUUCUUCCAUACUCUGAUAAAUAUCUAUUGAUGAAUAAGAUUUUA
Molecule: long non-coding RNA, 363 nt
Organism: Salvia hispanica
Lineage: Eukaryota; Viridiplantae; Streptophyta; Magnoliopsida; Lamiales; Lamiaceae
Source: RefSeq, a predicted model, not a curated record